RNAcentral lists this small RNA (815 nucleotides) under Pongo abelii (Sumatran orangutan). RNAcentral describes it as "processed transcript". The record is from RNAcentral. Lineage: Eukaryota; Metazoa; Chordata; Mammalia; Primates; Hominidae.
AUAAUUCUCAGGUGUACUGUUAACAUUUUAAUUUAAAAGUAUUUCUCUUAGCAGUUUUUGUUUUGUAGACAGUUCCCAUAAAAAUAUUUUAUCAGAAUUGCAGAACUGUAGUAACAGUUCAGUCAACUUUUUUUUUUUCCUGGGGUCACCAACCAGCUUCGGGAGGCACAGCCGCCACUCCCCCACUCCCCCAGUCUACUUCUUUAAAAAGCAUUUAACAUAUGGAGUUUCACUCUUGUUGCCCAGGCUGGAGUGCAAUAGCUCGAUCUCGGCUCACUGCAACCUCGCCUCCCUGGUUCAAGCAGUUCUCCUGCCUCAGCGAUUACAGGAAUGCACCACCAUGCCCAGCUAAUUUUGUAGAGAUGGGGUUUCUCCGUGUUGGUCAGGCUGGUCUCAAACUCCCGACCUCAGGUGAUCCGCCCACCUUGGCCUUGCAAAAUGCUGGGAUUACAGGCGUGAGCCACCAUGCCCAGCCAUGUUUGGGGCUUUAUUUUAUAAGUUAGAACUUUGAAGAGGAAAUGGUGCUAUAUGUUUAUUGUUAUUACUUUGUGUAACUUUGAUAUAAUGUUUAUAAGCUAUGAGAAUCAGUUAUAAAAGUAUUAGCCAUUUGUUGUAAAUGCCAAUAAAAUAUUCACCAGGGGCAAGAAUGUACAUUUUCUUUUUAGAAAACCAAAUGUACUUCAGACAUGAAUGCAACUAUUUAAAGAAUAGCUUCAUCUAUGUUAUUCCUUAUAUGUCAUAAGAUUCUUACUUAAACUUGGUCUUCUUUCAAGUUGUUUGUAUGAAGAUGCUGUACCCACUUGAACAGUCCUCAG